AUGCACGCUGGCGGCGUGCCUCAUACCUGCCAGUCGAGCGAACAGACGAGGAGCUUGCUCCUCUGACGUUAGCGGCGGACGGGUGAGUAACACGUGGAUAACCUACCUAUAAGACUGGGAUAACUUCGGGAAACCGGAGCUAAUACCGGAUAAUAUAUUGAACCGCCUGGUUCAAUAGUGAAAGACGGUUUUGCUGUCACUUAUAGAUGGAUCCGCGCCGCAUUAGCUAGUUGGUAAGGUAACGGCUUACCAAGGCGACGAUGCGUAGCCGACCUGAGAGGGUGAUCGGCCACACUGGAACUGAGACACGGUCCAGACUCCUACGGGAGGCAGCAGUAGGGAAUCUUCCGCAAUGGGCGAAAGCCUGACGGAGCAACGCCGCGUGAGUGAUGAAGGUCUUCGGAUCGUAAAACUCUGUUAUUAGGGAAGAACAAAUGUGUAAGUAACUAUGCACGUCUUGACGGUACCUAAUCAGAAAGCCACGGCUAACUACGUG
This 496-nucleotide ribosomal RNA is filed under the name uncultured bacterium. RNAcentral describes it as "partial 16S ribosomal RNA". It matches the Rfam family "Bacterial small subunit ribosomal RNA", at positions 29 to 507 of the family's 1533-position model. The record is from RNAcentral.